UACGGAGGGGGCGAGCGUUAAUCGGAAUUACUGGGCGUAAAGCGUGCGCAGGCGGUCUGCUAAGACAGGUGUGAAAUCCCUGGGCUCAACCUAGGAAUUGCGCUUGUGACUGGCGGGCUAGAGUACGGUAGAGGGGGGUGGGAUUCCUGGUGUAGCAGUGAAAUGCGUAGAGAUCAGGAGGAACACCGAUGGCGAAGGUAGCCCCCGGGGACUGUACCGACUAUCAGGCACGAAAGCGUGGGGAGCAAACAGG
RNAcentral lists this ribosomal RNA (253 nucleotides) under uncultured bacterium. RNAcentral describes it as "partial 16S ribosomal RNA". It matches the Rfam family "Bacterial small subunit ribosomal RNA", at positions 524 to 776 of the family's 1533-position model. The record is from RNAcentral.